This 253-nucleotide ribosomal RNA is filed under the name uncultured bacterium. Its description in RNAcentral is "partial 16S ribosomal RNA". It matches the Rfam family "Bacterial small subunit ribosomal RNA", at positions 524 to 776 of the family's 1533-position model. The record is from RNAcentral.
UACGAAGGGGGCUAGCGUUGCUCGGAAUUACUGGGCGUAAAGCGCACGUAGGCGGCUUUCUAAGUCAGGGGUGAAAUCCUGGAGCUCAACUCCAGAACUGCCUUUGAUACUGGCAAUCUCGAGUCCGGGAGAGGUGAGUGGAACUGCGAGUGUAGAGGUGAAAUUCGUAGAUAUUCGGAAGAACACCAGUGGCGAAGGUGACUCACUGGCCCGUUACUGACGCUGAGGCACGAAAGCGUGGGGAGCAAACAGG